This is a non-coding RNA of Miniopterus natalensis, 223 nucleotides long. The record is from RefSeq and is a predicted model, not a curated record. Lineage: Eukaryota; Metazoa; Chordata; Mammalia; Chiroptera; Miniopteridae.
AGAAGGAAGAGGCAAAUGACAAGAAAACAAGCUGUUAACAGUUCAAGGCCUGGCAGGCCUCCUAAACGUUCUUUGGGAGUCUUGCAAGAUAAUGCUCGCCUUCUGCCCCAUUCAGUUCCAGGCCUCUUAUCACCAGGACUUAUCACUCCUACAGUGUGCCUUCUAACUUUUUGUUGCAAUCUGGACAAGAUGUACUGAAUAGCCUGGCUGGCAUGGCUCAGUG